Long non-coding RNA from Nicotiana tabacum (common tobacco), 1247 nucleotides. RefSeq lists it as uncharacterized. NCBI's taxonomy places the organism in Eukaryota, Viridiplantae, Streptophyta, Magnoliopsida, Solanales, Solanaceae. The record is from RefSeq and is a predicted model, not a curated record.
UUUCCUUUUCCUAAAAAAUCCCAAAAUGCAACCAUCGUCUUCCCCUACGAUUUCGCCAGCAACUCGCCAACACCUUUCCCCAAUUCUUUGAUUUGUUUCCUUUUUUAAAAUAUUCUUUUUAACUUUCUUUCCUCAAUUCUUUUCCUCUUCAAAUCUGUAAAGAAAUUGUGAUUGAGAACCGAGAUUUUAGUUUCAGUUUUGGUCUAAAUCCCUGUCGUGAGUGAAGGUUUGCAUGCUUUUCUUUCCAUAUCGGCAUCCGCAUGUUCAAAUUAGUUAGAUGAAUAUGGACAGGUUUUGAGGCAAGCACUUCACCUAUUUUUCAUUUUCUCUUAUCGAUUGGAUUGAGUUUUGAAAAUUGAAUUAUCAAUAUUUUCUUCUGAUUUUUUCGAUUAUGUAAAGCGAAGUUUUCCCAUAAUCAUAAUCUUUUUCUGCCAAAAUUAAUCACCAACGGUUCAUUUUUUAGUUCGAAUACUCCAAUUUCGCUUCAGUCCCCGAAUCCUUGCUUAACGGGAAUUUUGAUAUUUUUAAAAAAAAUCUGAACCUUUCUUUAUUUGAUAUCUAGUUUUAUGAAUCUUUUCCAUUAUAGUGACACGCCCUAAGGCUAAUUCGCUAUUAUAAAUACUGACUAGUUCUAUGCACUUAAGGAGGAUGGUUUUCACUACUACUAUAGCUAUUCUUUUACUUUUAUUGCUCCUCUGUUCUUCCGAGUACAAAUCGAGGCAGAGCUUUAAUCUUUAUAUUUGUCCAAAUACAAAGUUCUAGUUUUGAUAUUCGUUUGAUACAACCUGGACGUAUCGAGUUCGAGUAUUGGUUCUUCAUUAUGCACACUCCGGAGAGUAUUUGGGCUUAUUUGUUGUUAUUGAAGUUACUGGAUUUCUAAUCUUCUUAUUAUAUUGUUGUUCCGCUUUCGAACAGACUAUCGAGUCGUAUUUCUCAACAGGUUAUUUACAUGACUAAACUGCAAACAGUUUAAACCAAUUACUUGAAGGAUGGCCUAAUUCGAGCAUUGGGAGAGAAUUUGGAGUUGCCUGGGAAGGGGAAAGUUUAAAAGGAUUAUUGUGUUGGAAUUUACUUGGCGACUGAAGCUCAUUAGUUUAGCUUGUGUUGUAAUGUUGGUCUUGUAAUGCUACAAAAAAAGGGUUGAUAGGGGCUGGAACUUGUUUGUCACUUGUUGCUGCUAUGUGCUAUUUGCUAUCGUGGUUUGUUUCUAUUUUUACUAAUCAUUGAAGUCAUGCUUUCAUUUUCAA